Molecule: ribosomal RNA, 301 nt
Filed under: uncultured bacterium
Lineage: Bacteria
Description: partial 16S ribosomal RNA
Rfam family: Bacterial small subunit ribosomal RNA
Source: RNAcentral
CAGUCGCCGCGGGAACACCGAGGGUGCAAGCGUUAAUCGGAAUUACUGGGCGUAAAGCGCGCGUAGGUGGUUCGCCAAGUUGGAUGUGAAAUCCCCGGGCUCAACCUGGGAACUGCAUCCAAAACUGGCGAGCUAGAGUAUGGUAGAGGGUGGUGGAAUUUCCUGUGUAGCGGUGAAAUGCGUAGAUAUAGGAAGGAACAUCAGUGGCGAAGGCGACCACCUGGACUGAUACUGACACUGAGGUGCGAAAGCGUGGGGAGCAAACAGGAUUAGAUACCCGGGUAGUCCCUGUCUCUUAUAA